Molecule: long non-coding RNA, 2765 nt
Organism: Amphiprion ocellaris (clown anemonefish)
Lineage: Eukaryota; Metazoa; Chordata; Actinopteri; Pomacentridae
Exons: 3
Source: RefSeq, a predicted model, not a curated record
UCUCCCCACAGAUCCACCAACCACUGGAACACAUCUCCAAAGUUCUGCCGGGCCAGCUCAGCUUCCCUUCAGAAGAAGUGCCACCACCUGACAGAUGAAGGGGCCUUUUGAGAGGCAGCUGGCAUCGUGAUUGGACUGUACUUUGGUCUGUUCCAAUCCAGCUUCAGCUCCAGAGACGGCAGGCGGGACGAGUCAACGGAGGCCGGGUGGACGAAGGCAUGAAGCUGAGUACAAUCCAGAAAACAACAGAGGAGGAGUGCAGCGGCCCAGGGCCAGAAUAUACAGAGUAGCAUCGUAUGUCUCUUAGAAAACAUCAUAGUCAGGGGCGGAUCUACUGGGGUGGCAUAGGGUUGCAACUGUCACCCCUAGAAGAUGCCUUGCCACCCCGGCUGCCACCCCAGUUCUGAACGAUCUAAUUCAAAAAUAUGUAUAUGAAAGGUUGUGGCCGGCCGUAAAGAGCGAAAGUCCAGGAAAGACGAAUAACGAGUGAACCUCCGAUGUCCGAGUGCUUUCGAAUGCACCAUGUUGACGUCACGUCCUGUACAGUCUAUGCUGCUACAGCUACGAGGUGACACGACCCUCCUGAGGGGGCUGCUCUUAGACCUCACUCAUGUGGAUGACAGCUGGACUUCGGUGUGACAGAGACAGUAAAGAAUGAAGAGGAAGGGAACCACCAGCAGCUUUUCCCAGCCUAAAAGAAAAGAGGAGGAAGAACAUCCCAGAGAGGAGAUGGAGGAGGAAGAGUUCAGAGAGAGAGAAAGAAAUGAAGGCAUGGAGAGCUCAGACAGCGAAAGAUCAAAGAACUACAGAUUCUUCACAACCUGCUCAAACUCUUGGUACAGGACCUCACCACACGGGUCAAGAAGGUUUCUGUCUCAUUUCUACUCUGAAGCUCACCUUCUCCUGCUCAAACUGCUGACAAAUGUUUCUGCUGCUCUAAAGUCUGCUCUCCAGAACUUCCUAAAAACUCUCAAAGUCUCUUCUGCUGCAGGUUGCUUUGCAGAACUGUUCCAGAAAACCUCACUAAACCACAUGGAGGAGCCUCAAGAUAGUCGUCCAAAUGAAACCAUACAAAAACCAGACUAGUACAACCUAAAUGCUAAAGUCUCCUGCAGCCUACCAGAGAACCUCUGAGAACAGAGAAUCAGGACAGGAACUCUUACCUUCUGGACAACCAACACUGGUUCACAAACAAGAAUACAGAAUGUGUCUGACCAAAAACCUCUAAAGACUCACUACAGCCAAGAUAAAGACAACUCAGCUGCAUCAAAUCCACUAAUCACUGCACAAAUUGCACCAUGUGCUAACUGUGGCUAAAGAAUCACAUUUACCAAGAUAACUAUCCAGUACAAAGCCUUAAAACACACCAAGAAACACAUUAAAGACGAUUUUACUGCUGGAAGCUGCAAGCCAACGCCUAAAGAACAAACUAAAGCAAUGGAGCCAAACCCAGUUAGUGGUGAAGAGAAACAGAGGAAAUGUUUGUCUGCAGCCACAUAAAGCAGGAAGACACUGAGCUGCUCAGGUGUUCCUGAUAACACCAAGCAGCCACCUGGACAGCCAAUAGGAACACAGCUUCCUGGAAGUCCAGAGGGCUGGCUUAGUGAAGGAAAUUUAGUUUAAAGUUGAAGCAGAAAGUUAAGAAAGAAAGUUGAAAACCACCUUCUGAUACCUGAAAUCUCUGAGUUUUCACACAAAGAACGCCUGAACAUGUCAAACUGGUUCCAUAGUAGAACCAUCAUUGUAAAAAUGUCAUAGUAUGGUGUGUUGCUCAAAAAACAUUACGACCCGGCUGUCUAGGGUGGUAAUGUUUUUUGAGCUGGUCACUGCUUUAGCAUUACAAACACUCUCCAGCAUUGAGAGUGUUUUAGGAAUUCAUUCAUUGUGUUGUGAACUUUGAAUGAGCAGAAACUUUACAGCUGCCAAAGAUAUGAGCUCCAAUUCUGGAUGUUUUAGGAAAUGAAGUUCAUCUAAUGAACACUUGAUUUUUGCUGAUAAAUCUCAUUAAAUUACUGAAGAAAUCCAACAUAAAAACCUGUAAACUCUCAGGCAGCUUUUGUUAAAGUUUGUCUAUAAUUCUACCAUCAUGUUCUGGAACCAGGACUCUGCAGAAGUUCCUUCAAUCAGAUACUUGUGUGUUUCUAUUUAAGGCCUCAGGUUUGAACGUACAGCAGAGGAUUAGAAAGGAGUGAUUUUAAUGUUUAAAUCAGUCCAGUAAAUGUUUGGCUUGAAAAUUAUAAAAAUUUUGAUUUAGAUAGAUUUGUGUCAAAUAAUAUUGUAGAGUCUCACUUAAAUAUAUCCACAUGAGUUCAGUGUAUUUACAUUUUAUAGAAUAUUUGAUUUCUUAAUCUCAAUACUGUAGGGUCUGACCCUAAAUAUUAUAAUAAUGAUGUAAAUUUAAAUACUAAAUAAUAUUGCAGUGCAGAGUCAUAAACUUUAAUCAGCUAAACUUACAUAAUAAAUAUCACUGUACAAUCUUAACCUGAACAUUCAUAUUAUUGAGGUAAAUUUACAUAAAUCAUAACUGUAAUAUGUCUAACAUGAAUCUUUUUGUAUUGUGCUGAUAAACAACAAUAACCCCACUUUCAGAUAAUAUUUAUUCACUGUGUAUUGGGUAGUACUCAUUCUGAUUUAGUAUGAUUAGCAUACAGAACUCUAUGAUGUUUAUGGUUUACAGCUCAGAACUGGUUGCUAAAAGUACAGAAUAUUAUUUCUUGUUUUAUGUGUGAUAAUUGGCAGUAAACAUUCUAAGAAGUGGAAAUUGA